GAUGAACGCUGACAGAAUGCUUAACACAUGCAAGUCGAUGGGGAAGUGGUGCUUGCACCAUGGUAACCAUGGCGGACGGGUGAGUAACGCGUAAGGAACUUACCUGCGGGACCGGGAUAACAGCAGGAAACUGCUGACAAGACUGGAUAAGGUCAUUAAGCUGCAUAGCUUAGUGAUGAAAGGAGACGCCUGCGGAGAGCCUUGCGUCCUAUUAGCUAGUUGGAGGGGUAACGGCCCACCAAGGCGAAGAUAGGUAGCCGGCCUGAGAGGGUGGACGGCCACAAGGGGACUGAGAUACGGCCCUUACUCCUACGGGAGGCAGCAGUGGGGAAUAUUGGACAAUGGGGGCAACCCUGAUCCAGCAAUUCUGUGUGCACGAAGACGGUUUUCGGAGUGUAAAGUGCUUUCAGCAGGGAAGAAGGAAGUGACGGUACCUGCAGAAGAAGCGACGGCUAAAUACGUG
This 463-nucleotide ribosomal RNA is filed under the name uncultured bacterium. Its description in RNAcentral is "partial 16S ribosomal RNA". It matches the Rfam family "Bacterial small subunit ribosomal RNA", at positions 28 to 507 of the family's 1533-position model. The record is from RNAcentral.